GCGCCCUUAGCUCAGUGGAUUAGAGCAUCUGACUACGGAUCAGAAGGUCGGGGGUUCGAAUCCCUCAGGGCGCG
RNAcentral lists this transfer RNA (74 nucleotides) under Euzebyales bacterium. Its description in RNAcentral is "tRNA-Arg". It matches the Rfam family "tRNA". Rfam says of the family: Transfer RNA (tRNA) molecules are approximately 80 nucleotides in length. Their secondary structure includes four short double-helical elements and three loops (D, anti-codon, and T loops). Lineage: Bacteria; Bacillati; Actinomycetota; Nitriliruptoria; Euzebyales. RNAcentral also lists the same sequence under 2 other names. The record is from RNAcentral.